GGGAAUGUGGCUUAGUGGUAGAGUGUUUGCCUAGCAUGCAUGAAGCCUUGGGUUCAAUUCCCCAGUACUG
This 70-nucleotide transfer RNA is filed under the name Dipodomys ordii (Ord's kangaroo rat). It matches the Rfam family "tRNA". Rfam says of the family: Transfer RNA (tRNA) molecules are approximately 80 nucleotides in length. Lineage: Eukaryota; Metazoa; Chordata; Mammalia; Rodentia; Heteromyidae. The record is from Rfam by way of RNAcentral.